UACGAAGGGGGCUAGCGUUGUUCGGAAUUACUGGGCGUAAAGGGCGCGUAGGCGGCGCUGCUAGUCAGGCGUGAAAUUCCUGGGCUUAACCUGGGGGCUGCGCUUGAUACGGCAGUGCUAGAGGACGGAAGAGGGUCGUGGAAUUCCCAGUGUAGAGGUGAAAUGCGUAGAGAUCGGGAGGAACAUCAGUGGCGAAGGCGGUUGCCUGGCCUAAGACUGACGCUGAGGCGCGAAGGCGUGGGGAGCGAACAGG
This 253-nucleotide ribosomal RNA is filed under the name uncultured bacterium. RNAcentral describes it as "partial 16S ribosomal RNA". It matches the Rfam family "Bacterial small subunit ribosomal RNA", at positions 524 to 776 of the family's 1533-position model. The record is from RNAcentral.